GGAACAGAAAUUAAAUUCCAUCUAAAAGACGGUACAACAAAAGUCUCAUCCAAAACUAAAUAAAAACCGGUCUUAAACAACAGCCUAAAUUUUCCAAUAGGCUCAACUGGCACCUUCUUGCCGUCACCCACAUAGAUGUAUCUUUCACCAUCAUUUGGUUUUCGGCAGUUCAGGCAACCCUGCAUAGAUAUACUUAUGUGANN
Molecule: long non-coding RNA, 203 nt
Filed under: Nicotiana benthamiana
Lineage: Eukaryota; Viridiplantae; Streptophyta; Magnoliopsida; Solanales; Solanaceae
Description: long non-coding RNA (NBEN_LNC024796)
Source: RNAcentral